AAUCAAAGGUUGCUCAUAUAUGUACAAGUCCCCGUAAUACUGUUUAACGGAAUGUAGGCCUAGGCCUAGUGCAUAAUACGUAGCACCCAAAGCCGCAAUUCCAGAAGGGUGUGCUCCGUUCACUGCAUAAAUAAUUGCUGUGGAACUCGCAUGUAAAUAAAGGUUGAUGGUGAUGGACUGGAUACAUAAAUCAAAUACUGUAUAACAACUAUUUUCAUUAGCAGUGAUGAGAGCUUUUACUGCUAUCAAGUAGCUACUGGAUAUUCAUGACGAAAUUCACCUCGUAAUCAAGGGGAUUAUCGAAAUACUCUCCCUGCGUGGUCGAGGCAGCAUGUAGAGUGACAGCAACAGAAUCGCUCUCGCUGUAAUAUACAUUAAGACCUGAACCUUCCCCACACCAACGGCCUCCACGCCUCGGUAACUUUGGUUCCUCGAUGCCAACGUAGUCACCAUCGCAGCCUCCGAUUCCAGCACCUGUGGGAAAUUAAGGUCUGAUGUGACAGUGUUAACUUCCGCCCGUUGAAAGUACGAAUACUCAGUCUCCUCGAACUGGCAGUGAGACACUGUGGCUGGAUGUACGCUGAAGAAGCCUUUAACUGGUGAACCUCUUAAUAUUACAUCGACACCGAACGACUAGUCAGGGUUUAUAACGCUGCCAAUACAGAGCGAGCUGCCUUGUGCAACGUCGAGAUGUACUCGGCGUCCGCGUUGAAGUUUGUCAACACGGAGAGCUGCGUUUGUUGGAGCUGAAGGACGAAGCACUUAAGACUGAGUGACGGUGUUAGAUACAGCCAUGGCUAACUCAGAAGAAAUCAGAUUGAUUGACUGAAUCUGGGCUGUAACCUUCUGAGAGGCCAGGGAUGCUGGCGCAUCCUUCAUUUCACGUUCCUGGAUAGCUAAAUACAUUAAAAAGAGAUGAAUCCUUUGUUAAAAGAAACUGGAACAAAAACCCAUAUGACUGUCAUCGCAAAAAGAGUGAGAAUCUUGGAAGGCCUGAAGUCCUUUCUCAGGAGUCAAAAGGCAUCAUAGCUGAGGUAGUGGGUAGACCAAGAAAGUCUUUACGUAAAUUGGCGCUUGAACUAGAAGCAAAAAGUGGAGAGAAGAGAAGCUAUAGUGCUGUAUAUCGUGAAUUGAAAAAAUCUGGUAUCAAGCCAUUUCAUAUUAUCAGCAAGCCCGACAUCACUCAGCAACAGAGAGAAGACCGUGAAUGGUUUUGUGGUUCAUUUCUUAAAGAUUGGGAUGAAGCUGGCUAUCACCAUGUUGCUGCAUCAGAUGAAUUCAACAUUUACACAGUCAGGAAGCCAAAUCAUAAAAAUGACAUAAUUUGAGCUGCAAAGUUGGAAGAUAUUAGCGAUGACGUGCGCUAUUGCCAAGUUGUGAAAUUUCCUGAAUGUUUGGGAAUUUUUCUCUGUUUCACAGCCAAACGAUUAAUGUGGAUCAUCAAAGAAAAAGGACAGUCAUGGAAUGGCAAAUACUUCAGAGAAACUGUGCUUACUGUUGGAGUAUUUCCUUUCCUCAAAAAUCCUGAAAAUGUGUUAUCUAUUGAAGAAGUCACAUUUUUGUAUGUUUCAAGGCUCUUCAGACACAGGAGGUGCUUCGAAACAGUGGUAUCCAUCUCUUCUCCCCAAGUGAAUUUCCAGGUAGCUCCCCUGACCUUAAUGUAUGUGAAAACAUUGGUAGUAUCUGAAAGGAUCGUGUUGAAGCGUGCACAGUGAACUAUGAUGGUAUACCAAGCCUCGACGACAUGCGAAGAGAGGUGACCGAAGUGCUCAGGGAAAUGGAGUCUGAGUCUCAGCUUCUUUGCAAUUUGCUGAAAUCAUACCCCUAAAGAAUGCAGGCUGUGGUACAGGCAGAUGAAG
This is a long non-coding RNA of Macrobrachium nipponense, 1859 nucleotides long. RefSeq lists it as uncharacterized. The transcript is spliced from 6 exons. Lineage: Eukaryota; Metazoa; Arthropoda; Malacostraca; Decapoda; Palaemonidae. The record is from RefSeq and is a predicted model, not a curated record.